Molecule: ribosomal RNA, 243 nt
Filed under: uncultured Actinomycetales bacterium
Lineage: Bacteria; Bacillati; Actinomycetota; Actinomycetes; Actinomycetales
Description: partial 16S ribosomal RNA
Rfam family: Bacterial small subunit ribosomal RNA
Source: RNAcentral
UACUCGAGUGGCGAACGGGUGAGUAACACGUGGGUGGUCUGCCCUGCACUUCGGGAUAAGCUUGGGAAACUGGGUCUAAUACCGGAUAGGAGCCAUCUUUAGUGUGGUGGUUGGAAAGUUUUUUCGGUGUAGGAUGAGCUCGCGGCCUAUCAGCUUGUUGGUGGGGUAAUGGCCUACCAAGGCGGCGACGGGUAGCCGGCCUGAGAGGGUGUACGGCCACAUUGGGACUGAGAUACGGCCCAG